RNAcentral lists this ribosomal RNA (495 nucleotides) under uncultured bacterium. RNAcentral describes it as "partial 16S ribosomal RNA". It matches the Rfam family "Bacterial small subunit ribosomal RNA", at positions 28 to 507 of the family's 1533-position model. The record is from RNAcentral.
GACGAACGCUGGCGGCGUGCCUAAUACAUGCAAGUAGAACGCUGAAGGAGGAGCUUGCUUCUCUGGAUGAGUUGCGAACGGGUGAGUAACGCGUAGGUAACCUGCCUGGUAGCGGGGGAUAACUAUUGGAAACGAUAGCUAAUACCGCAUAAUAGCAGUUGUUGCAUGACAACUGUUUGAAAGGUGCAAUUGCACCACUACCAGAUGGACCUGCGUUGUAUUAGCUAGUUGGUGGGGUAACGGCUCACCAAGGCGACGAUACAUAGCCGACCUGAGAGGGGGGUCAGCCACACUGGGACUGAGACACGGCCCAGACUCCUACGGGAGGCAGCAGUAGGGAAUCUUCGGCAAUGGACGGAAGUCUGACCGAGCAACGCCGCGUGAGUGAAGAAGGUUUUCGGAUCGUAAAGCUCUGUUGUAAGAGAAGAACGAGUGUGAGAGUGGAAAGUUCACACUGUGACGGUAUCUGACCAGAAAGGGACGGCUAACUACGUG